RNAcentral lists this long non-coding RNA (748 nucleotides) under Homo sapiens (human). RNAcentral describes it as "long independently transcribed non-coding RNA 2901, transcript variant 4 (LINC02901)". Lineage: Eukaryota; Metazoa; Chordata; Mammalia; Primates; Hominidae. The record is from RNAcentral.
AGAGUUUUCGGUCCACCGAUAAAAUGUGUCUCCUUUGUCUCUACUAGAGGAGAAAAAGAACUGGAAUUGGAAGGACAGGGGGAUUGAAGCGUAGUGAGAGAGGCUGGAGAAGAGAGUGAAAAGACCGCUUACCCAAUUUGAAAUUGGUGAGAUGUUCCUUGGGCUGGUUGGUCUGAGGACCUGAGGUCAUAGGUGGAUCUCUUCACGGAGUGAAGAACAGGUGGAGAGGUAUGAAGAACGAGGAACACUGCCCGGGGAGUUUCUUCCUCUGCAAAAUAAGGGAGUGUGUACUGAAUUACCGUUUCCAGCUCCAACAUCCAGGAUUUCAGCACUACCUGCAGAGUAGUGGGAGGAGAGAUAGAGGAAGAAGUGAAGAUAAGAAACCACUCGAAGCCGGUGUCUGGUGCUGGGACCGUGGUGGCUGGGACGGCAGCAGUCGUGCUGUCCAUCUGCUCUUCCGAGGGGUGGCACAUCCUAGCCUCUAUCUUUUCCCCAGAGAAGAUCCCCCUCGUCUGCUCUUCCCCCGUCUCAGCCUUUUAGUGUGUGAACAGUUCUGGUGUUACUCAGCAACGCUUUUGUUAGCGCCUUUACCAGCAAGUACUUGUUAAACACUUAAAUCUUACAAGUGGAAAGAAAAUUCCGUGGUAAAUUUAAGUACAAAAGUCAACCAAAAUUCUGAGUCUCGGACAAGACUGGUUAAAAAUCGUUCUACAAUGAAACUAAUAAAUUAAAUCAUAUAAAACUUUUA